Molecule: ribosomal RNA, 305 nt
Filed under: uncultured bacterium
Lineage: Bacteria
Description: bacterial SSU rRNA
Rfam family: Bacterial small subunit ribosomal RNA
Source: RNAcentral
AUCCCUACGGGGGGCAGCAGUGAGGAAUAUUGGUCAAUGGCCGGGAGGCUGAACCAGCCAAGUCGCGUGAGGGAAGACGGCCCUACGGGUUGUAAACCUCUUUUGUCAGGGAGCAAGGUGCAGGUCGGGACCUGCUGUGAGAGUACCUGAAGAAAAAGCAUCGGCUAACUCCGUGCCAGCAGCCGCGGUAAUACGGAGGAUGCGAGCGUUAUCCGGAUUUAUUGGGUUUAAAGGGUGCGUAGGCGGGCUGUUAAGUCAGCGGUAAAAGCCCGGGGCUCAACCCCGGCGAGCCGUUGAAACUGGCU